Oncorhynchus tshawytscha (Chinook salmon) is the source of this 4445-nucleotide long non-coding RNA. NCBI's taxonomy places the organism in Eukaryota, Metazoa, Chordata, Actinopteri, Salmoniformes, Salmonidae. The record is from Ensembl.
GGCAGCUCAGUGGCAGGUAAAAUUCUGUAUUUCAUAUUACAGUACACCUACUGUAAUAUAAAUACGGUAUCAAAGCAAGUACUGUGUAAUGACACACAGUACAAUUAUGUAAAAAAGUCAAUGCUACCGUACUCACAGUGAAUUCAUCAAUGGAUGGAUGAAUGGAAUUCAUUGGUAUUUUGGUAUUUUAUUAGGAUCCCCAUUAGCUGUUGUGAUAGAUGCAGCUACUCUUCCUGGGCUCCAACACAAAACAUGAAACAUGACAUAAUACAGAACAUCUAUAGUAGUACAUCAAUAGACAAGAACAGCUCAAGGUCAGAACUAGAUAAAUGUAAAACAAGAAAAAUAUAACUAAAAGGUUCUGUACUGACUCAAUACUGAGAGAAAAACACAGAGCUACCAUUCUAUACCUACAUUUAUAAUGUCCAUGUUCAUAUAUUGUAUUUUCAUUCAGUAGCAUUUAUCAGUACAUUUAGGUCAAAAUCGGGGGAGGCGUUGUACUGGGAGGUGUUUUAUCUGUUUUUUUAAACCAGGUUUGCUGUUCACUUGAACAAUAUGAAAUGGAAAGGAGUUCCAUGCAAUCUUGGAUCUAUAUACUACUAUACGAUUCCUUGAAUUCGUUCUGGAUAUGGGGACUGUGAAAAGACCCACGGUUUUAUGUCUGGUGGGGUAAGUGUGUGUGUCAGUGCUGUGUGCAAGUCGACUGCAAACCAUUUUUAAUUUUCAACACAUUAAUGUUCCUUCUAAAAACAUUGGGGGAAAGAAACUUACAGCAUAUUAUUCAAAUCAAAUCAAAUGUAUUUAUAUAGCCCUUCGUACAUCAGCUGAAAUCUCAAAGUGCUGUACAGAAACCCAGCCUAAAACCCCAAACAGCAAGCAAUGCAGGUGUAGAAGCACGGUGGCUAGGAAAAACUCCCUAGAAAGGCCAAAACCUAGGAAGAAACCCAGAGAGGAACCAGGCUAUGUGGGGUGGCCAGUCCUCUUCUGGCUGUGCCGGGUGGAGAAUAUAACAGAACAUGGCCAAGAUGUUCAAAUGUUCAUAAAUGACAAGCAUGGUCGUAUAAUAAUAAGGCAGAUCAGUUGAAACUGGAGCAGCAGCACGGUCAGAUGGACUGGGGACAGCAAGGAGUCAUCAUGUCAGAUAGUCCUGGGGCAUGGUCCUAGGGCUCAGGUCCUCCGAGAGAGAGAAAGAAAGAGGGAGAGAAUUAGAGAACGCACACUUAGAUUCACACAGGACACCGAAUAGGACAGGAGAAGUACUCCAGAUAUAACAAACUGACCCUAGCCCCCCGACACAUAAACUACUGCAGCAUAAAUACUGGAGGCUGAGACAGGAGGGGUCAGGAGACACUGUGGCCGCACUUUGCCAAAGCACAGCCCCCACACCACUAGAGGGAUAUCUUCAACCACCAACUUACCAUCCUGAGACAAGGCUGAGUAUAGCCUACAAAGAUCUCUGCCAUGGCACAACCCAAGGGGGGGCACCAACCCAGACAGGAUGACCAAUUAUUUAGUGUUUUAUAUCACUUACACUUCUAGAGGCCUUAACAAGAGCUUCCACACUGUCAACAACUACAGGGCAAAACAGAACAAAAGGUCAUGGCAAAAAUACUCAACCAUUAAAGGUUUAAAACCUGCUUCCACUCCAAUCUGGACCCUAUACCUUUUACAUAGAUGGGGCACUAUAACCACAUAGGAGUUAAAUUGGUACAGCAUUCUCACUCACAGGAGCAACAAAUAUAGCCUAAAAAAUAUGUUAUAAUAUAUAAUAAUGGUCAUAGGGUACAAUAGUGAAUUCUGUGGGGUGGAAUUAUGGUACACUGUAAAAAAAAAUAUCCUGUUGUUUCUACAGUAACUUACUGACACCCAAUAUGUUACUGUAAAUUCCAAGGAAACCUUGGUAUAACAAAGAAAGCACUCUCCUCUCCUCCCCUCCCUUCCCUUCCCUGGACAGACCAGACCAGCAGCAGCAGAUGUGGAGGCUGGUAACAACAGGAUAAUGACUCAGAUAUUCUGCUACCGGAGUGGAAUAACUGCUAGUGGGUUUAUCAGACUCUGAGGGGGGAAAAGAGGGGAUUUAGAACUACACAGCACUUCCUGCUUCCUUCCUUCUCACAGGGCAACUGUCUACACCAGCUGGUCCUGGUCCAUGAUAGAGGGGAAUGGAACCUCACCCUCAUGUCUGACUACACUAACAUCACUCUACAGAGAUGAGCACAGAGCCUAAACAUCCUGACACACAAGUAUCAAAUCAAAUUGCGUCAAAUACAAUUUCACCUUACAGUGAAAUGCUUACUUAUGAGCCCCUAACUAACAGUGCAAUUUCAAAAAAAUGAGGAUAAGAAGAGAUAUAAGUAACAAGUAAUUAAAGAGCAGCAGUAAAAAAUAACAAUAUAUUUAUAUAUAUAUAUAUAUAUAUAUAUAUAUAUACACAGGGGGGUGCUGGUACAGAGUCAAUGUGUGGGGGCACCGGUUAGUUGAGGUAGUAUGUACAGUACAUGUAGGUAGAGUUAUUAAAAUAGUGUGUGUGUGUGUGUGCGUGCGUGACUAAUAGGUCAAUAGUACAUGUGAAUCUCACGUGUGAUGAUCAGCUGGCAGUCAGGAUGUGACAUGUGGAUUACGCAAGCUACCUCCAUCACAAUGAUUUUAGCAGGUUAUCCAACUGUGAUUCCUAUAUACACAAUGAAACCACAUCACCCUUUUCUCUCCUAUAGUUCAGCUUUGUUAGUUAUUAGUGUGGUGUUAGGUGGAAGUAAGUCUGGUGGACACAGAAAGUUCAUGGGUGAUAGAAUACACUUAUUCUCUUGGCAGUCACAGACCUCUGUAAAAAGUAUUUCUCCAACAUCAUACAGGGAGACACAGUUUCACAGCUAAUUAAAACUUUGAAACUCUCCACAUUCAUUAUGUUAUGAUCUCAGUGGGGGACCAAACAAUCCCGGUUUCUGUGUGUGAAUGUGCGUGUGCAUGCGUGUGUGUUCACACUAAAGACCUGUGCUAAUUGGUUCGAAGUUGGUUGUUGCAGACUAGACAUGGGUUGUAGCAGACUGUUAGCAGUAUGAAGUGUGAUCUGCAGGGACUUUGGGAGGGGAAGGGCUGCAUGUUAGCUCAAAAAGCCUCCUGACCCCGUGGAAUACAUAGUUACAAGGGUGAAUGUAUGUUAAUGAACUGGAUUAGCAGAGGCUAUAGCCUCAUUAACUGGGAAUCUGUCCCACAUUUGAUAAAAUUGUCAACUAAUGUAAAUUCAAAGUGAAAUCAACAAAAAUGUAACCAUCUCAUUGGAUUUAGAGUCAAAGUUGGAUGAAAAAAGAUUCCUUUACGUUGAUGACUUUUUGCAAAUCCAAACAAGUUUUCCACUCUGAUUCAACGUCAUCACGUUAUAUUUUUGUUGUUGUUGAAAUGACGUGAAAACAAAAUGUAUUCAAGCAGUUUGGCCUAGUGGGAUGUGUGUUUACAGACUCUUGCUGUUAGAGGUAUCCAGGGGGAUGUUAACAUGUUCAUACAGUGGCUUACUUCACAAACACAGUUGACAGUUUAACCAUAAUGUUAGACACCUGCAGAUACAAACCAUACCACGUCUCACAGCAAAACCUAAACUACCCUUUAGAGAGUGAAUCAUGACUCAUGAAUAGAUGGAUGGAUGGAUAGAUGGAAGUGAAGGUUUGGAGGCAGUUUCACAUCUCUGCUCAAGAGCUCCCCCCACCCACCCCAUACGUAGCUUAGCGACGAGGGUCUUUUAUCAGCGACAAAGAGCAGUGGUCUGUUUGAUCUGGAUCUCCUGUUCUCUGUCUGAAUGAGCCCAGCCCGAUUCUACAGUAUCAGUCCUGGACCACUAGAAAGAGCCCACCACAGCCCUGUCCCUUAUCAUCAUCCUCAGCCUGACCAGUAUAAAUACCCAGUUCUCCCAUCCCCAGUCCCGGUCCUGUCAUUAGUGCUGCCUAUGUCAUCAUUCAUCUGCUUCGGCAUAUUAAAAACCCUGCAGACCCUACACACCACUGAUCAACGACAGCUCCCUAAUCAGAAUUUUCAGUCAUGGUUGUCAUUCUAUACAUGCAGCAAGGACAGUCUCUCUCUCUCUCUCUUUGUUAUGUGUCCCUCUGGUGGUCAGGUAGGGAAAUUGCUCUUGAAUUCCCUAUUGUUAUAUUGAGCACUCUGAAUGGUGUUGUAGUUCCUUUAGAAAACAUUUGACCUGCCCAUCCAUCUAUCAUAUUGCUGUAAUAACUACAUACAGAAACCCAAAGCGUAUCGUGGGUAGUAUGGAGCUCAUUCAGCCAGCACACCAUGUGGACACAGUUUCCCUAGAGCGCCUGUUGCUUAGCUACAAUCUACUAUCAGGCCCCGAGGACUGGAGUUGCACACCUAGCCGCCUCUCUCUCUCUCUAGCCGCCUCUCUCUCUCUCUCUCUCUAGCCGCCUCUCUCUCUCUCUCUAGCCGCCUCUCUCUCUCUC